RNAcentral lists this ribosomal RNA (487 nucleotides) under Escherichia coli. RNAcentral's name for it is "bacterial SSU rRNA". It matches the Rfam family "Bacterial small subunit ribosomal RNA", at positions 1 to 477 of the family's 1533-position model. The record is from RNAcentral. Lineage: Bacteria; Pseudomonadati; Pseudomonadota; Gammaproteobacteria; Enterobacterales; Enterobacteriaceae.
AAAUUGAAGAGUUUGAUCAUGGCUCAGAUUGAACGCUGGCGGCAGGCCUAACACAUGCAAGUCGAACGGUAACAGGAAACAGCUUGCUGUUUCGCUGACGAGUGGCGGACGGGUGAGUAAUGUCUGGGAAACUGCCUGAUGGAGGGGGAUAACUACUGGAAACGGUAGCUAAUACCGCAUAACGUCGCAAGACCAAAGAGGGGGACCCUCGGGCCUCUUGCCAUCGGAUGUGCCCAGAUGGGAUUAGCUUGUUGGUGGGGUAACGGCUCACCAAGGCGACGAUCCCUAGCUGGUCUGAGAGGAUGACCAGCCACACUGGAACUGAGACACGGUCCAGACUCCUACGGGAGGCAGCAGUGGGGAAUAUUGCACAAUGGGCGCAAGCCUGAUGCAGCCAUGCCGCGUGUAUGAAGAAGGCCUUCGGGUUGUAAAGUACUUUCAGCGGGGAGGAAGGGAGUAAAGUUAAUACCUUUGCUCAUUGACGUUA